AAACUUUCAACAACGGAUCUCUUGGCUCCGGCAUCGAUGAAGAACGCAGCGAAAUGCGAUAAGUAAUGUGAAUUGCAGAAUUCAGUGAAUCAUCGAAUCUUUGAACGCACAUUGCGCCCCUUGGUAUUCCGAGGGGCAUACCUGUCCGAGCGUCGUUU
RNAcentral lists this ribosomal RNA (158 nucleotides) under Pannaria patagonica. RNAcentral describes it as "5.8S ribosomal RNA". It matches the Rfam family "5.8S ribosomal RNA". Rfam says of the family: 5.8S ribosomal RNA (5.8S rRNA) is a component of the large subunit of the eukaryotic ribosome. It is transcribed by RNA polymerase I as part of the 45S precursor that also contains 18S and 28S rRNA. Lineage: Eukaryota; Fungi; Ascomycota; Lecanoromycetes; Peltigerales; Pannariaceae. The record is from RNAcentral.